RNAcentral lists this ribosomal RNA (307 nucleotides) under uncultured bacterium. RNAcentral describes it as "bacterial SSU rRNA". It matches the Rfam family "Bacterial small subunit ribosomal RNA", at positions 41 to 334 of the family's 1533-position model. The record is from RNAcentral.
GAUGAACGACUGGCGGGCGUGCCUAACACAUUCAAGUCGAACGGUGAAGUACCUUCGGGUACGGAUCAGUGGCGGACGGGUGAGUAACGCGUGAGCAACCUGCCUUUCAAAGCGGGAUAACGGCUGGAAACGGACGCUAAUACCGCAUGAUGUAUGCGAGGCGCAUGUUUUGCAUACCAAAGAUUUAUCGAUGAAAGAUGGGCUCGCGUCUGAUUAGAUAGUUGGUGAGGUAACGGCUCACCAAGUCGACGAUCAGUAGCCGGACUGAGAGGUUGAACGGCCACAUUGGAACUGAGAUACGGUCCAG